This 253-nucleotide ribosomal RNA is filed under the name uncultured bacterium. Its description in RNAcentral is "partial 16S ribosomal RNA". It matches the Rfam family "Bacterial small subunit ribosomal RNA", at positions 524 to 776 of the family's 1533-position model. The record is from RNAcentral.
UACGUAGGCAGCGAGCGUUGUUCGGAGUUACUGGGCGUAAAGGGCUCGUAGGCGGCCAACUAAGUCAGACGUGAAAUCCCUCAGCUUAACUGGGGAACUGCGUCUGAUACUGGAUGGCUUGGAUUCGGGAGAGGAAUGCGGAAUUCCAGGUGUAGCGGUGAAAUGCGUAGAUAUCUGGAGGAAUACCGGUGGCGAAGGCGGCAUCCUGGACCGACAUUGACGCUGAGGAGCGAAAGCCAGGGGAGCAAACGGG